AAAUAAUAAUAAUUCAGGGGAUAUAGCAACAUUUUUACC
This 39-nucleotide small RNA is filed under the name Arabidopsis thaliana (thale cress). RNAcentral describes it as "ATSL215440". The record is from RNAcentral. Lineage: Eukaryota; Viridiplantae; Streptophyta; Magnoliopsida; Brassicales; Brassicaceae.